ACGUAGGCAGCGAGCGUUGUUCGGAGUUACUGGGCGUAAAGGGUGUGUAGGCGGUUUUCUAAGUUUGGUGUGAAAUCUCCCGGCUCAACCGGGAGGGUGCGCCGAAAACUGGGAGACUAGAGUGCGGGAUGGGAGAGUAGAAUUCCUGGUGUAGCGGUGAAAUACGUAGAGAUUGGGAAGAACACCAGUGGCGAAGGCGGCUAUCUGGACGGUUACUGACGCUAAGACUCGAAAGCGUGGGGAGCGAACAGGA
This 253-nucleotide ribosomal RNA is filed under the name uncultured prokaryote. Its description in RNAcentral is "partial 16S ribosomal RNA". It matches the Rfam family "Bacterial small subunit ribosomal RNA", at positions 525 to 777 of the family's 1533-position model. The record is from RNAcentral.